AGAUGUGAAGGCAAUUUUUCUGUGGCAAAUGUCACAGCACUGACCACACCAGUGUUAAUUCAGCUGAUAUGGCUGGCCGGCCAGGUAUCCCCUUCCUUCCUUAUCACUCUAUAUGUGUCCCUCCCAAAGACGUAUGUUCACUUAAAAAAGAUGACUUUCCCCAAUAGAGAAGGGCUAUUUUUCAGUUAAGGAUAGGUAAGCAGCUGUACUCCCCUGGUAGAACCUCCAAAAAAAGUCAAAUAUUCCAUUUAUGCCUCAAAUAUGAGAUUGUAACAAAGUUUCCCUGGUCCUCCAAACCACUGGGUUU
Dipodomys ordii (Ord's kangaroo rat) is the source of this 307-nucleotide unclassified non-coding RNA. Its record names the gene 7SK. It matches the Rfam family "7SK RNA". Rfam says of the family: 7SK was discovered as an abundant small nuclear RNA in the mid-70s but a possible function has only recently been suggested. Two independent studies have found that 7SK RNA binds the CDK9/cyclin T complex (known as elongation factor P-TEFb). The record is from Ensembl. Lineage: Eukaryota; Metazoa; Chordata; Mammalia; Rodentia; Heteromyidae.